MicroRNA from Caenorhabditis elegans, 23 nucleotides. NCBI's taxonomy places the organism in Eukaryota, Metazoa, Nematoda, Chromadorea, Rhabditida, Rhabditidae. The record is from Ensembl.
UAAUACUGUCAGGUAAUGACGCU